UACGUAGGUGGCAAGCGUUGUCCGGAUUUACUGGGCGUAAAGGGUGCGUAGGCGGUCGGGUAAGUCUGAUGUGAAAUCUCCAAGCUCAACUUGGAAAUGGCAUCGGAUACUAUUCGGCUCGAGGAAUGGAGGGGAGACUGGAAUACUUGGUGUAGCAGUGAAAUGCGUAGAUAUCAAGUGGAACACCAGUGGCGAAGGCGAGUCUCUGGAUAUUUCCUGACGCUGAGGCACGAAAGCCAAAGGAGCAAACGGG
RNAcentral lists this ribosomal RNA (253 nucleotides) under uncultured bacterium. RNAcentral's name for it is "partial 16S ribosomal RNA". It matches the Rfam family "Bacterial small subunit ribosomal RNA", at positions 524 to 776 of the family's 1533-position model. The record is from RNAcentral.